Molecule: ribosomal RNA, 476 nt
Filed under: uncultured bacterium
Lineage: Bacteria
Description: SSU rRNA
Rfam family: Bacterial small subunit ribosomal RNA
Source: RNAcentral
AGGACGAACGCUGGCGGCGUGCUUAACACAUGCAAGUCGAACGGAAAGGCCCGCUUGCGGGUACUCGAGUGGCGAACGGGUGAGUAACACGUGGGCAACCUGCCCUCAGCUCUGGGAUAACUCCGGGAAACCGGUGCUAAUACUGGAUAUCGACUUCUGCUCGCAUGGGUGGUUGUUGAAAGUUUUUCGGCUGGGGAUGGGCCCGCGGCCUAUCAGCUUGUUGGUGGGGUAAUGGCCUACCAAGGCGACGACGGGUAGCCGGCCUGAGAGGGCGACCGGCCACACUGGGACUGAGACACGGCCCAGACUCCUACGGGAGGCAGCAGUGGGGAAUAUUGCGCAAUGGGCGGAAGCCUGACGCAGCGACGCCGCGUGAGGGAUGACGGCCUUCGGUGUAAACCUCUUCAGCUCUGACGAAGCGAGAGUGACGGUAGGAGCAGAAGAGCACCGGCCAACUACGUGCCAGCAGCCGCGGU